CGGGGUAUGGCGCAGUUUGGUAGCGCGUUUGCAUGGGGUGCAAAAGGCCAUGAGUUCGAAUCUCAUUACUCCGACCA
This 77-nucleotide transfer RNA is filed under the name Bacillota bacterium. Its description in RNAcentral is "tRNA-Pro". It matches the Rfam family "tRNA". From Rfam's summary of the family: Transfer RNA (tRNA) molecules are approximately 80 nucleotides in length. Their secondary structure includes four short double-helical elements and three loops (D, anti-codon, and T loops). Lineage: Bacteria; Bacillati; Bacillota. The record is from RNAcentral.